UGAAAGACAACAAUUUAGCGAACCAUUUUAGUGUAACGUUUUUGUCAUAAUUUGCUCUGAAUGACAUUUUUUAGUUGACUCAUGCAAAACAUAGAUAAAUGGCUAUAAUUAAUUAUGCUCCUAUUUAUUUGCUUUUGUUGGUUCUUAAUCUACCAGCAAUCUUUAUUAGCUCAUCACUGAACUAGCUAUUAAAGAGAAUAUAUUAUUAAACCAGCAUCACUUCUGUAUGAAGGCUCAUGCAUUCUCACAUUAUAAUUGUUUGAAUUUUUAAUUUAUAAGCAGGGUUUGAUAACAUUACAUUGCCACAAGGUCGCUUAUAACUUUCUUGUAAAUAGUGUAGAAUUAUUAUCAUUGUGACACUGUGAUUAAUUUUGCUUAUAACAUUGAAAAACAUUUUUAAGAUAUCUUAAUGUUUGCUUGACCUUUAAAGGACACCAAUUUAUCUUUGAGUAAUUAGCCUCCCUUGACAGAGGCAAUCUCAUCAAAGACCGCACUGUUUGAAUCUUGUAGUGACUCUGUUAAGGCUUGUAUGUCUUAAAUUUUAGAAGAAAGGCCUGGGAAAGCGAUAACCCCAAUGUGCCGAGUAUCUGAUGGAAAUAUAUCAUAGUUGUUUGUGAAAUGGCAUCUUCUAACAAUUCAUUGUAGCCAAACCUCAUGAUAUUCUUCAUAUUGUAAUUACUUUUUCUAAAAGGAAAUCUUUUGGUGUUCCUUAUUCCUUUUAGAUUUGGUUGGCACUAUUCUCAUUUCCAAGUUUGGAAGUAGUCAUGGUUCCUCGAGAUGCAUAUAUCUAAUUACCAGGAAAUAUUUUACCUUUACUUCUUCGUUGUUGAUUAUUUUAUUCUAUUUUGAUGAUCAUAUAACAAACACUAACCUCCCUCUACCUAUCCUCUUUGAAAUAUCUAAUGCACUUGCUUUUAUGGUACUGUAGCUCUGAAGCUCUUUCAUAAUAACAUUGUUGAUGGUCAUUGCUCGUCCAUGUUUUGCCAGGACUAAAUUUUAGUUGUAUCAACAUUAUUCUCUAUUCUAGCUAGAAUAGGAUUUGAACUGUUCAUGGAAUAGGAACAAUGUAAUAGGAGCAGGGUCUUGUGACAAAUAUGUUUUGAGUGGUUGAGUGGCCCAAUUUGUGCCAAGUGGGAUACAAUCAAAACUUUGGAGGGAGAAAGUUGUUAGAUGUCAAGUGUUGUUGGUGGGUGUGUGAUAAUAUGGUCGAUGUCCGUAGUUGUUUUGGUCUAGUAAUGGAGGGAAAUCAAAAUAGUGGUCAGUUGUGUUUGAAAUUGAGUAGGAGUCGAGUAUACGAUCAACUCUGGGUUCUAUUACUAGAAUCAGGAUCUUAAUGCUAUGCAUUGGUGAAUGAUUUUGUGUUCUACUCAAUGUUGCAGGGACCUGGACAUGAGAAUCCAAUUUAUUUGCAUAUUCUGCAAAUAGUAAUAAUAAGAUAUGGAGACAUAUAGAAAAAUGGUUUUUUAUAAAAUAUACUUAAAUUUUCAUAAUUUAUUAAAUGAAAACAUUGAACAAGACAUUAUAAAAUGAUAAAUAUUCGGAUAAAAUAUUGAUAGUGUAAUGCACCUGUUGUAACUUUUAUUUUAAAUUUCUGCUACAAAACUUGUUUGUAUAAGCAGGUUGCGGGCAGAUAAAACCGGACAUGGGGACUCGGGUCUGGGUGCAUUUAUGUUUCAUUAGUUAGUUACAUAAACAAGCAGCAUAAAAAUAAUAAAUAGAUGAUGCGUUGCAUUUUUCUUUUUGCUCCUUUUGUAGCUGGCAUAAGCUGUCUACUUUUCUUUUUAAAUGCUUGUAUAGCCACUUACCAUUUAGCACUAGAGGCCACAUGAUAAGGGUCGCAAUUGCCUAUUAUAAUAAAUUUCAGAAGGUGUCUAGAUAGGAUGUUAACUGGCUAUAGCUUUCAGCUAAGGAUGAAGCUGGUAUUUUGGUUCCAGAAAAUCCCCAACCUCCCAUGAUUGGUGGAUCUAAACCCAAUUUAUAUCAAGAAUGCGUAGAUGCACUUUUUACCCUGCCAUCAACCCAUCAGUACACAUUUUCCUGUUAUUGGGGUUAGGCAAAACAAUGAACAAUGGAAGAGAGAGCGCUGAGCAGCAGAUGAGAAAGCAAAGGGAUUUUGGAUGGUAGACUAGUAGUAUUUCUAGACUAGAUUUCUUGUAUCUUCUUCUCUCUAUUUCCCCUCCAUUCCUUUCCUUUUCCAUGCCUAGACUCCUCUUUUUUGAGCUUGGAUUUGCAAAGAGUGGUGUUAGAUUCACCUUUAGCAGAGUGUAACAGUUCACCGACUCAAAAAUCCUGAUAGGCAUCGUAUUUGGUGCGUAUCCCAUGUGUCUGAUAUGUAUCGAUACUCGAAUAAAUAUUGACACGGCACUUUGGGGUUGGAUACACAUAUCCAAGUAUAAUUGGUUCUAAAAGGAGUAAAAUAUUAGUUUUGAGGUGCUGUAAUUUGAUUUUGGCCUUAACCGAUCAUGGUAGAGCAGGCUGGUUGCAUUUUAGAGAGAGUGUAAUGACCCUGGGUCUAAUGUUGGAGUUACAAUUCUUUGAAGUGAUUAUAGCCUUAGGGUCUUUGUGCAUCUUGUAAGUUUUUUAACUAAUAAAACUCAUAUUGUUUCUCUCUCCAAUUUUAUUCUUUUGCAUACAUAUUCCAUAUACAUUGGUGCUUGUUCAUAUUGAUCCUGCAUAUUGGAUGAUCCUCCUAUGUAGUGAUCGUUGUUGUUCGACAAACAUUUCCAUUAACCAAGCAUUCUUUUUUUUUUUUUUGCAUCUUACCUCAUGGCUUUUAUUAGACAAGUAUCUAUUGCUUGAGUCUAGUGCGCACAUGAAGAAUUUGACCUUUCUUGUAACUUCAUUCUCAAUAUUACUUGUUUACUCUAGACGUGUGGUUGGGUUAUCCUGAUUCCAAAAUUCCACCAUCUUGCUUCAAAAGCUCCAAGCUGCUUUUUAUGGAGGGCAUCUUCAGUAAAACAGGAGCGUCUUUGCAUUCAGACUUCCCACUUUCUUAUUUCUACCUUCCCCAAAUAAGUAACUUUGCAUUUGUGACUGAUUCAUGUUUAUAUCUCAGUUUUAAACUAGUUAUAUCUGCAAUCCUUCCAUUUUGUUUGAGCAACACCACCUUUUUUAAAUGCCCCCAUAUCCUAGUUCUUUGGACUCUUGUACACUACCCUAUACUUUUGUUUGUUGUCAAUGGCUUAUCCCUAAGCCCAAACUGCAUGUGUAAUCAUGCCAUUGUACAAGCUGUUCUGACAACUAGUGUUUGAAAUCACGAGGCUGAUGCACAGCCACUGGAAAUGCAUUUUUUUUUUACUUUGGAAUUAUUGCAUCUUGAUGAUUCCCCAGAUGAUUUUUUUUUCAAAUGUUAUUUUUUUAAAAAGCCUUAGAUAUGAAGACUGGAAGGCAACUUUUUUUUUCCUCUUAGCUUACAUAAUCUGAUUUAUGAGGGAUUGAAGACUAAUAUGUUCAUGAGGCGGUGCUUAGAUAUGUUUGAAUUUUAUAAAGUAGUAAAGGUCAAAGACAAUUCAACUUGAGUUUCAAUUGCUUCAAAUCUUUUUGUGACUUGGAUCUUUGGUCAUACAUAUCUCAAUGUCUUCUCAUGUUUCAUCACAUCUACUUAGAACUCUGGUUUCCUAAACUUUUGCCAAAAUCUUAGAACCGUUUGCAAAUGUGCAAACAAUCCACAAAUUAGUUUAAAUUUUUCAAGAUUUUGUGGAACUUUUUGAUUCUGUUGAGAUGAUUUUGUGCUUUUUUUGGCUUAUUCUUUUUGGAAUCUAGAUCAUCCUUUCAAUUUUGUUUCUUACUAUAUUCAAUUUAUGUUAUUUUUCCUUUGCUCUAUUGAUCUCACUAUUAGCUUUAUCACUUGGCCUUAGUCCAACAGUAACAUUUGUAAGAUUGCAUCCACAUUUUCUUUUCUUGAUAAGUCACAUAUCAAUGUGCACAUCUAGUAAAAACGUUAGUCAUAUGCCAUGUUUAAUGGAGUUCUAGUUAGGUCUGAGCUCAUCGAACCAUUUGAUGGUCCGGUACUGCAUACUUUAAGAUGGAUGCUUUAUGAUUUAAUGAAAAAAAGGGUUAUUUAGGCCUCAUCCUAGAAUAAACCAACUUGAAUAAGACAACUGAUGUCCUGCUUUCCUAGCUCCCGCUACUAUCGUGUGUCCCAUCUCCUCCGGCUUGUUUGUUCGGUCUCCAUCAUAGAUUGCCCUUGGCACCCCAUCACACACGCCUACCCCUCUCGGCCACUGUGCACAGCAACUCUGGGGUCCCGAAUAUUGGGUUCGAAGGAGGCGAGGUUGAAUGGAACUACCUCCUAUUGCCGGAGGCAGAGGAGGUAGAUGGCGGAGUUCAGAGUCUCACUGGAGGAGGGUGAGAAGGAGGAAGAGGAGAACGCAGUUGCGUUAGAGAGCAGGGAUGGGGCUCGGCAAAGGGUGAGGGGAGCAGUGGAGUUCGAUGUAAGUGGAGCAAUGGAAUUCAAUGGAGCGGGAGCUGUUGGGUUUGACGAUGGGAGAGCCAUGGGAUUUGAUGCAGGGAGUGGUGAAGUUUGUUAGUGCCAGAGCUGAGGGUAUCACUGAAGUAGUGGUUGGAGGCAAUCAUGUGGUUGGAGGAGACAUCAGAGUGGUGGCUGGUGGUGAUGAAAUAGGUAGGGGAGAUAUUGGUGAAGGAACCGUUGGCCACAACAGAGUUGUUCGGGGAGAUGGUGAUUUGCUAUGGGAGACGAAGGUAAUAGAAGAUCCAAUGGCAAUGAUGAUGGAAGACUAACCAUGUUAUUAUCUAUUAAAUAAUGUAAUGUGCAUCAUUUCUUUUUGGAUCUUUAAAUAUUUAUCAUCAAAGAUAAAGCUUUUCCUAUCAUAGGCGAACUUUAUGUUUAUCAUGAGUCUGUUUGUGCUAUUCGAAUUUUUUAUAUAACUUAGAAUAUCUAUAUUUUUAUACAUUUACAGUUAACUAGUUUUACUGAUAAAAUUCAAAGAAAUGUAUAUGCAAGGUUGUAGAUUCAAAUGCUAUAUGUCAUAGGUCAUUCAACAUUUGUGUCUUCUAUGUCAUUCUACAGUAUUUAUGCGAAGUUAAUAUUCCACUUUGCUGAUUAAAUUCAUAUAGACAGAUUGAAUCUGCUCCCUGGCCCAUCUCCUGGCUUCUGCGUUCUCAAGAUCUCUUAGGAAAUUGUCCUUUUUUUUGUAGUGUUGUGAUUAGGUGAUGUUUACCAAUAUACGUGCUUAAAAUCAUUGUAUCAUUGCUGUCCAUAAGCCAUGGUUCAUCUUUUUCCGUCGCUUUAUAAGGUUCAUUCAGAAAUCUGAAACUGCAUCAAUAUGAAUGCUUUCCUAGUUGUACUGUAAUGUUCUAUCAGAUAAAGCCAAUUCAAGUUGUAGUUGUGCAGGCAAAUUGAAUUGUAGUACAUACUGCAAUUCAUUCUCUUGUUGACCUUAAUAUUUUCUUAUGGAUAAACUUAAUGGUAGAGUAACUACCCAAGCAUUUGGAUGGACAAGUUACUUGAAGCGCUAACAGGUGUUCUAUCAUGUCUUGUGCCUUUUUAUUUUCUGGGUAUGGGACUGAAGGAAAUACAUGGAUGGAGGUGAUGGGCGUGAAAUGGGGUUGAAGCGACCACAAUUUGAUUCGAGUUCCUCAUUUUUUGGGGCUUCUGUUGGAUCAAGUCUCAUGUACAAUCCUUCUUAUGCUUAUGCUGGCCAACCUCCACCAUUCCCCGUUGUCCGAUUGCGCGGCCUUCCUUUUGAUUGUUCGGAAGCAGAUGUUAUUGACUUCUUCUGUGGUCUGGACAUACUCGACAUUCUCUUUGUUCAUAAAGGUGGUCGGUUCAGUGGGGAAGCUUUUUGUGUAUUGGCAUAUCCUCUGCAAGUAGAUUUUGCCAUUCAGAGAAAUAGGCAGAACAUGGGUAGGAGGUAUAUUGAGGUUUAUAGGAGUAAGAGACAGGAAUAUUACAGUGCCGUUGCACAUGAAGUUUCUGAUAUGAGGGGUGGUUCUCCACGUCGCAGUGCUCCGAGGGCAAGGUCAGCUGAUGGUGGGAAGGAUUUAGUUGAGCAUACUGGAGUUCUACGGAUGAGGGGAUUGCCAUAUUCUGCUGGGAAAGAUGAUGUGAUGGACUUUUUUAAGGACUACGAACUCUCAGAGGACUGUGUUCAUAUUGUGCUGAACUCCGAUGGCAGGCCAACAGGGGAAGCUUUUGUCGAGUUUGCAAAUGCAGAAGAUUCAAAAUCUGCAAUGGGAAGGGAUAGAAUGACACUCGGAAGUCGUUAUAUAGAGUUGUUUCCUUCAACUCCCAAGGAGAUGGACGAUGCUAUUAAACGGUGAGGCUGGUGAACGGUAACAAGGAGAUCAGGUUUACACCCAGUAGUUGGUAGAUUUCUGAAGUUACUCUAUUGUUUAUGCUAUGCUUUUGUAUUGAAAACUUGUUGCAACAUAUCAUAUCAUCUGAUGUAUGACAAUGCUGGUCUGACCAACGCAUGGUUGAUCCAACAUUAGAUUAUCUCAUGGUGUGUUCAAUCUGGUUAAUUGCAAAAAAAGAAGGGGUUAGAUCUAUUAUCCUACAUCUUGUGUUUCUCUUCAUACAUUAUUUUUUCUCUGCUUUCUGUUAUAUAACCUGAUCUGCAGAACUCCGAAUGAGUUUAGUGAUUGAUACGAUCAAAUUGACAAUUUAGUUGUAUUAUUUUUUUUUGUUCAAGAUAAAUGGAAGCAUGUUAAUAGGCUUGAAGCAUAUGGGCUGGGAAAACAGGAUUUCGGUGGGAGUAAAAUUUGGUUUAAUUUUAGGACAUCGGCCGUAACAGGUGUAAUAGAAUGCUUGGUGCUUGUAAAUGGAGAAACUGAGAAAUGCAUGGUAUGCAAAAGAGUGGGUUGAAGAUAUUAAGCAUGUAAGAAGUAAUUCUGUUGAUUGUAUCUUUGCUCCAGGUUUAGAGAAGCUAAUCAAGUAGUUGGGUGUGGUAGAGAAGUUAGUAUUUAUGUUUGGUUUUGGGACUGCAUGGGAGGUCUUCCUCCUUAUCAUCAUCUUCUGUCAAGAAUUGAUGAUGUACAUGUAAUGUUUAAGAGUUUAGCAAGAUGCUUAUUUCAUCGCACAAAAGAGGAGUGGCGGCGAUAUCUCUCCGGUAACAAAAAGAAUCUUCUCUUUCCAAGUAGAUUCAAAUAUAUCUGCUUUCAUCAUGGACUAUGAGCUGCUUUGUUUGUUGAAUCAAGAAUAUUUUUAAACAGUUUAGAAUUGCUAAAGUUGAAGUUCAUUUUUAUGUUGGCUAAGGUGAUCGAUCCACUUGUAUUGUUUGGAAGGGGACAUUUUAUGAGAACAGAGGAAGCUAGAAUGGCAGAUCAUAGAGCAAGAACCCGGAACCGUCGCCGAUGCCCAGGUGAUUAUACUUCAAAUAUAUUAGUUUUUGUUCCUUAUUCCUUCUGUAUAAGCAUGAAUAUGUGCAUUUUUUUAAUCUAAUCUACCUAUGAUUCUGAGUUAUAAUUGGCAAUUCCUUCGAACGAAUUCCUGAAUAAGACUCGAGAAAAAUCAAGAGUAUAAAAAUCUUUGCAUGUUGAGAUCUUUUGGAACCCAUGUUAGCUCGACACCCUACAAAAAUCUCGUCAGUUUCACGUGCUUGCAUUGGGACUAAAGUGGACAGCCUACUUUGUCAUGCUAUCAAUUUAAUGAGUAAAUUUAUCCAGGUCUAAAAGAGUAGGUAAAGCCGUUCUUCUAAAGAUAAACGCCACAUAAAAGAUUGGCCAAGAUUAUGUGAAUUAGUGUUAGCCAAAUAAGGUUUAGUUAAACAUCACCUUCCCCAAAACCCACAGCAUCUGCGUACGCGCUUCGUAAUUGAUGUCCUCCCAGAAAAAGACCAUUCUCCUGUUGAGUCACACGGCCUAUUAACUUCGAUUGCCGAGAGAAGAACCAUGCCUCUGGGCGAUAUUAAAUUGUCCAUAAUCCAUUGUCGUGGCUACGAUGGCUUGGUCUCUAUUCUAAGAUGGUUGCGAGGUUGGUGGGGGAACACCGUCGCUCUUCAAAUGUUCCGACUCAGCACUCAUGAGUCAUCGGAUAAUUCGUUACGACCGCACUGAAGCAAGAAGAAGACUCGAAACCUUGGUCGCAUUGUCGGGCCACUUAGAAUUAUAACAAAUUUCCUCUGAAAUAUUCUUGCAGGUACGAAAGCACAUUUCUAGUGAGGACUUUAUUCUAGCGGAAAACCAGCUGAGUUGUUAUAUGUAUUAGAUGAUCUUUCUACUUUCCAUGUUUGUUUUCUGUCAUGCCAAAUGAUAGAAAAUUCAUUUAUAUUUUUACAUAAGAAAACUUUGUAAUGUAAACUAUAUUUCCUAGAUUUCUUUUGCAGGCGUAUGUUUAGUCCCACAUUGGCUAUUCGCUGAGGAAAGCUUGGAUACUUAUACAGGACUAAAAAAUUCAAAAAAUAAUUUCGGCUAGCCAUUUGGAUGAGGUGUUAGGUUGUUACAAAUAAUAUCAAAGCGAACUCGAUCUAUAACCUAUAUGGAUUAGGAAAUAUUGUAGCACAAGUUCAUGAAGGCCGAUUAGAUUUGAAUGAAUUUAAAUUCUUAGUUUGACGAGAACAUUAGGUAUUAAAUUUGAAUGGAAGGCUGAUUAAAUUUGAAAGGAUUUGAAUUUUCAGCCAGACGAAAACAGUACGCUUGUAUAUAUUAUCGGUAAAUUUUGUUAUAUUUGUCCGUCAAGGCCGCGGCCUAACUGAAUGAAGGGAACACAAAUAAAGGUUCCAAAGCCCCAAGAGUCAAGACAGCCAAAAAGAGAGAGAAGAGCUGACGCAAGGGUUUGGAUUUUUCUCACAAAAAGGGCUGCGAACGUUUCAGUUCAUAUCUAAGAAAAUACAACGGUGGUGGCAUCCGUCCUAAAAUCCUGUACUCCCAGACUGGGAAACAAGCUGUUUUCUUCGAUAAAUCUCAUUGCCGGCAUCAAUAGUCUUUGGGUUCAUCUACUCUGCGAGCGAGCGUCACCUUUUUCUCCCCACGCGUUCUCUCUCGUCUUCAGCCUCAGCCUCAGUCUCAGCCUCUCUUUUUAUCCACCGCCAGUGCCAUCCCAUCUCCCAAGACCCACCUCAAAC
RNAcentral lists this long non-coding RNA (9023 nucleotides) under Phoenix dactylifera (date palm). RNAcentral's name for it is "long non-coding RNA (PDAC_LNC001203)". The record is from RNAcentral. Lineage: Eukaryota; Viridiplantae; Streptophyta; Magnoliopsida; Arecales; Arecaceae.